Molecule: long non-coding RNA, 14379 nt
Filed under: Lactuca sativa (garden lettuce)
Lineage: Eukaryota; Viridiplantae; Streptophyta; Magnoliopsida; Asterales; Asteraceae
Description: long non-coding RNA (LSAT_LNC004214)
Source: RNAcentral
AUUGUUGGUGUCGAAGCGAUAAAAAGUUAGGCAAGAACGGACGUCAAACGAAGAAGUUAUGAAUUUAUAACGAAGUUUUUCUGUCGCGGCCUAUUAAAAAUAAUUAAUAAAAAUAAAGUCAAAAUUAGCCGACGGAGUCUAAACGAAAGUCGUAGAGCAUGGUCUCACCUUUCCGUGGAUAUAAAGAACGUCGAAAAUGGAGUUCGUAUGAAGAAGUUAUGAAUUUCCGAAGUUUAUUAAUCAUUUUGUAUUUAUAUUUAAAUCAAAAUUCGGAAGCAUUAUCCGAAGGAGUCACCGAUCUGAUCCGAGGUACGCCCCGCGUACUCGAGUACGCCCCGCGUACUCCGAGGGAUGUCGACACUCGCACUCGAGCACUUCGGAUACGUAAGCAAUGACGUUUUGGGCAGUACGCCCCGCGUAACGCAGUACGCCCCGCGUACUCCGAGGCUCCAGCCUCCUAUAAAUAGGAUGCGAGGGUUCCGGGUAUUUUUGCCAAUUCCCUCUCGUUUUCGUGUCGAAGCUCUGUGCAAAAACCCCCGAAGCUACCCCGAAGUCCCGGUAUCAUACUCUAGCCCCGAGGCAAGUCCCGAGAUCCCGAAGAUCCCGAAAAGUGCGGUUCCCGAGUCGAAGCUCUGCCCGCGAGAAGUUCGAUUUUCGAGAAGAUCUUCCAGAUCUGCUGUGGAUUACUACUUCUAUAAGCCGUAGUGCUGUCCGAUCAUCUUCUGAUCAAGUGAGUGUGUAGUUAUUUCUUCUAAUACAAUAAUACGAAGUAUUUUAUAUAAAAAUACGUGCUAUGUGUAUAUAUUUGGUUGUGUUAUGUGUGAAUGAGUAUUCACUCUCUUCUAUCUUAUAGAUCUGCUUAUUUCUUUAUGAGAUAUGUGUUAUGUGUGUGUGUGCCUCAUCUGUUAUGUGAUAUAUGUGUUGAUUAAAGCAUGCUAUACAGGUUUUCUUUAAACUAUGUAUACAAAUGUAUAUUUUUAUCUACUAAUAUGUUGGGUAGAACAUGGGUAGACAGUUGGUGUGUAAUAAACAGAUGAGAGGCCUCGUUGUUGUUUGAUUGAGUCAUCUAGCGGAGUUUAGAUGACGACCACUGGCUAUUCUAGACAGUCUUGUGGAAACAUUAGCAGGUUCGCCACCUGUAGGUGUUAAUGAACUUGGGUGUUCAUUCGCUGUACUCCAUCCCCCUCAUGGUUGCCUUAUUUGACUUAUAUUGCUGAGGUACCCCCGAAGCAUGUGUUGUCGCCCCGAUGAAAUAUUCUUAGACUAGGUCCCUUAUGUUAGUUGUUUUAGGGACAUUAAAGUGAGAAUAACGGGAAUGGGUAAUUGGGUUAUUGUUGGUUGGUGAAAAUUAAAUAUGAUAUUUAUUGUGGGUUGAAAACCCUAUAUGCUCACCAGGCUCCCAAGCCUGACCCACUCAGUUUUAAAUUGUAUUACAGGUAGUGGCGGAAGGGCAUGAGAUGGAUGAACCAUCAAGUUGUUUUGUUUACAAGUCUGCAUAUGUUUAUAUUUGUUAUAUGACUUGUAAUGUAUUCGUUUAUGCUUAUUGGUCUGUAUCGGAACAUGACACCCCGAGUUUUGAUUAUAAUGAAAAUACAUUUCUUUUAUGAAAUGCUUCGGUAAACAAUGUUUUAUCAUGUUUUGUUUUUGGGAACAAAUUCCGCAACUCUUUCAAAUCAAAAGGAUUUACUCUGAAAAUAUUUAAAAGCAUAAAUGAAAAUCGGUCUUUUCUGGCCGAGAUUUUGGGGAUGUCACAGUUGGUAUCAGAGCAUUAGUUUAAGCGAACUAGGAAUUUGUAGGAUUUCUAGACUUAAACUUAGAAUGCUAAGUGAAGUUUUGAGAUGUGUGUCUGUUGUGUUUUAGACACGAGCACUAGUUUAUUUUAGGAAAGUUGCCUAAAAUGCUUUAUGUGCUAAAUGUUAUAUGUUGCCAUAUAUGAUAUUAUUUGUUCGGAUCUAUGGUCUGUUGCCGACCGGAUCUAGAAACCUUAUGUGUGUAGGAUUCUAAGCGUACGUCUACGAUAUUAGAACUAGCAUGUAAACGUUUCGGAGUGAUAAGGAUGAUUUGAAUAUCUAUCAUGAUUGAGGAUCUAAUUUCACCUUAUUCGGGGUGUAGAUCAAAAUGGUGAGAACAAGAAGUGGAGUUGGAAAUGCUGACGAAAACAGGAAUCAACCACCAGUGAUUGAGCCAAUACCUGUCGUAGCAGCAGCACCUGAGCCAAUAACCAUGGCUGGUGUGCAAUUGAUGAUUCAGACGAUGUUGGAUCGUCAGAUGGAUGAAACUAGACGGUUGCUUCAACAAAAUCGUGAAGAACUGUCGAUUCGUGUGGAAGAGCCUGAAUUAAAUGAAGGGCACUCGGAAGGUGGAAACUUCAGUGGGUCUGUUGGUCCAGCCAACCCACCGAUAGUUAGGCAAGAUAACCAUGAAGGAAGGAAUGAUGGAAUGGGAUGCAAGUACAAGGACUUUUUGACUUGCAAACCAUCGACCUUCAAUGGAAAGGAGGAUCCGAUUGGGGUUAUGGAUUGGAUCUCCGAAAUGGAGUUAGCCUUUAUGACAUGUGGCUGCAGAGGUAAGUUGCAGACUAUCUAUGCCGUGCGACAAUUCCGAGGUGGAGCCGUUCGUUGGUGGAACACUCUAGGGAAGACCUUAAGCCCUAAUGAGCCACUGCAAUUGUCAUGGGCAGAGUUCUUGGUGCAGUUCAAGCGCAAGUUCUGCUCGGCUCAAAAUCUGUUGGAGUUGGAGAAUAAGUUUUUGACAUUGACGAAGGGUAGCAUGUCAGUUGAUGAAUACACCAAUAACUUCACCGAUAAGAUGGAGUUUGCCUUGCGUAUCGUUCCAGACGAGCUGACAAAGGUGGAUCGGUAUGCGAAGGGACUUCCAUGGGAGUACGAGGUGCCGGUACGUCAGGCACUUACUCUAGAGGCAGCUAUCUGGGCUGCCAAGUCUGUGGAGAACAUGAUCAAGGGGAGAACCACCGUCAAGGUUGAGGUUGGUGAGAAAAGGAAGUUUGAAGGAACAUCUGGUUCCAGUAAGAAGAGCAAAUUUUCGAAAUCUGAUUCGAAAAAGUUUGGAGGAAAAGGAGGCGAAGCAAAGUGGUGUGAUAAGUGUAAGAAAAAGCACUUUGGGAAAUGUAGCGAGGAUGUGACCUGCUACAAGUGUGGAAAGGUUGGACAUUUUGCCAAUGAAUGUCCGAACAACAAAAGGAUGUGUUUUGGUUGUAAUGAAGAGGGGCAUAUUUUGAAAGACUGUCCGAAGAAGAAGGAGGCAGCUAGGCCCAACAUUCCACCAAAGCCGAAGGCGAGAGCCUUCCAGAUGACACUUGAGGCUGCGAAAGAUGAAGCUGAUGUCGCUUCAGGUACCUUUCUCGUAAACGAAUUACCUGCUCAUAUAUUGUUUGAUUCUGGAGCCAACUACUCCUUUAUUUCGCAUGAGUUUGGUAGAAAGCUAGCUUUGCCUGUUGAUAGACUAAAUAAUGCUUUAUUAGUCGAAGUAGCUAGUGGCAAGUUUGUACCUGUUAGCCAUCGUAUGAAAAACGUCUUGAUCGACCUUAAUGGGAAUAAGUUUCUCGAGGAAUUAUUGCCUAUCGAACUAAAUGGUUUCGACAUCGUCUUGGGAAUGGAUUGGCUUAGCGCCAAUGAUGCCGAAAUUUUGUGCAAGAAGAAGAUAGUUAAAGUAAACCCGCCUGGAAAAGAUUCGUUUAUGGUGUAUGGGGACAAACGCAGAGUGAAUUCUGGAAUCAUUUCUCUAAUGAAAGCCAGAAAGUGUUUGACCAAGGGAUGUACAUCAUAUUUAGCAUUCGUGAUUGAUGCUAAGAAAGAAAAGAAGGUGAUGCAGAGCAUUCCAGUGGUGUGUGAUUAUCCGGAAGUAUUUCCCGAGGAUCUUCCUGGAUUACCACCUGAUAGACAAGUGGAGUUCAGAAUAGACUUGUUACCAGGAACCACGCCAAUAGCAAAAGCACCUUAUCGAUUAGCACCGACGGAGAUGAAGGAGCUAAUGAUGCAACUUCAGGAGUUAUUGGACAAAGGUUUCAUUAGACCUAGUUCAUCGCCCUGGGGAGCUCCGGUGUUAUUUGUAAAGAAGAAAGAUGGAAGUAUGAGAAUGUGCAUCGAUUACAGAGAGCUGAACAAGGCAACAAUAAAGAAUAGAUAUCCGUUGCCGAGGAUUGAUGACCUGUUUGAUCAAUUGCAAGGUUCGAGCUAUUUCUCGAAGAUCGAUCUUAGGUCAGGAUAUCAUCAGCUGAAAGUAAGAGAGCAAGAUAUCGAGAAGACUGCAUUCAGAACUAGAUAUGGACACUACGAGUUCUUGGUUAUGUCGUUUGGACUAACCAAUGCUCCAGCAGCGUUCAUGGAUUUGAUGAAUAGGGUUUGUAAUCCUUUCCUUGAUAAAUCCGUGAUAGUGUUCAUAGACGACAUUCUGAUCUACUCGAAAAGCCAGGAGGAGCAUGGCAGACACUUGCGAGAAGUGUUAGAAGUUUUGAAGAAGGAGAAGCUUUAUGCGAAGUUCUCCAAAUGUGAUUUUUGGAUUCGUGAAGUCCAAUUCUUGGGUCACGUGGUCAACCAAGAAGGGAUAAUGGUUGAUCCAGCGAAGAUCGAAGCUGUGACGAAGUGGGAACAACCGAAAAGUCCCACGGAGAUUCGAAGCUUUUUAGGAUUAGCCGGAUAUUACCGAAGGUUUAUCCAAGGCUUUUCUUCGAUUGCUACUCCAUUAACAGCUUUGACCCACAAAGGAGCUACUUAUGCUUGGAGUGAGAAGCAUAAAGAAGCAUUCGAGAAGUUAAAGAAGAAGCUAUGCGAGGCACCGAUACUUUCUCUACCCGAUGGAGUUGAAGACUUCGCUGUUUAUAGCGAUGCGUCUGGUGUUGGAUUGGGUUGUGUUUUGACCCAAAGAGAAAAGGUGAUAGCAUAUGCGUCUCGACAGCUGAAAGAGCAUGAAAAGAAUUACCCGACUCAUGAUUUGGAGUUGGCAGCGGUAGUUUUCGCUCUGAAAAUAUGGAGGCAUUACCUCUAUGGCACGAAGUGCAAACUUUUCACUGAUCAUAAGAGUCUCCAAUACCUCUUUAAUCAGAAAGAAUUGAAUAUGAGGCAACGACGCUGGCUAGAAUUACUUAAAGACUACGACUGCGAGAUACUUUACCACCCCGGUAAAGCUAAUGUUGUUGCUGAUGCUCUCAGUCGGAAGGUCAAUCUUGAAAGGAAGAGGCCAAGAGCGUUGAGAAUUGAAGUUGUCUCGACCAUUGUGGAAAGUAUAAAGAAAGCUCAAGAGGAAGCUUCUGAGAAAAAUGACCGAAAGGAGGAACGUUUGGGUAAAACGUUGGUGUUUGGUACUAACGGUCAUGGACUGAAGGUAUUCCAAGAUCGUAUUUGGGUACCUAAGUCAGGAGGAAUUAGAGAUCUUCUGAUGGAAGAAGCUCACAAGACCAUGUACUCGAUUCAUCCGGGUAGCACUAAAAUGUAUAGGGACCUGAAACCCUACUACUGGUGGCCGACGAUGAAGCUUGAUGUUGCAAAGUAUGUGGCCGAGUGUGUGACUUGUGCGAGAGUCAAGACACAACAUCAGAAACCGUACGGGAGUUUAGAACCUUUGCCUGUGCCUAUGGGUAAGUGGGAAGACAUUGCUAUGGAUUUUGUCACUAAACUGCCCAGAACAAAGAAUGGUCACGACAUGAUUUGGGUGGUCGUUGAUCGAUUCACUAAGAGUGCGCAUUUCAUAGCGGCCAGGGAGAAAUGGUCUAUGGAAAAGCUUGCGAAUUCUUACGUGAAGGAAAUUGUGAGGCUUCACGGUGUUCCGUUAACGAUUGUAUCGGAUCGUGAUAGCCGUUUCACCUCAAGGUUUUGGAAAAGUCUACAAGAGGAAAUGGGUACCAAGUUAUGUUUAAGCACAGCUUACCAUCCGCAGACUGAUGGUCAGAGUGAAAGAACAAUACAAACACUUGAAGAUAUGCUGAGAGCAUGUACCUUGGAAUUCCUAGGUAAUUGGGAUGAACAUUUACCGUUGGUAGAAUUUUCCUAUAAUAAUAGUUUUCACUCGAGCAUUAAGAUGGCACCUUAUCAAGCUUUGUAUGGACAGAAGUGUCGUACGCCGUCUUGUUGGCUUGAGGCUGGGGAAAAGCAGUUUAUGGGACCGGAGUUGGUUCAUCAAACUGCUGAAAAGUUGAAAAUAAUUAGGGAAAGAAUGUUAGCAGCUCAAGAUCGUCAAAAGAGCUAUGCUGACAAGAAGCGAAGACCGAUGACUUUUGAGGUUGGAGAUUCGGUUUUGCUUAAAGUCUCGCCGUGGAAGGGACUUAUAAGAUUUGGUAAAAGGGGAAAGUUGAGUCCAAGGUUUAUUGGACCGUUUAGAGUCCUUCAGAGGAUUGGGAAUCAAGCUUACAAGCUCGAAUUACCCGAAGAACUGAAUGGAAUUCACAACACCUUUCAUGUGUGUUAUUUGAGGAAGUUCACGGGAGAAGUUCCCGAUAUAAUUCCAAUUUCUGAAUUGAGAAUUGAUGAGAACAAAAGGUUGAUUGAAGAACCAGAGGCAAUUGUUGACCGAAAGACUAAGAAGUUGCGACGCAAAAUGGUUGGGUUAGUGCUUGUCCGAUGGAAACACACGAAUGGGCCGAAUCUCACCUGGGAGACGGAGAGUGACAUGUUGAGUCGCUAUCCGCAUUUGUUUGUUGAUGUGUGAUUCCGGGGACGGAAUCAUUCUAAGGUGGAGAGAAUUGUAACGCCUGUGUUUCGGGCUUGCCAUUUGUAGCAAUGUAAUAGUCUAGGUUAACCUCUGUAACCCGUUUUGAAAUAAUAAGAUUGUAUUAUUUGAGUAUUGUGUGUUUUGUGCUUAAUUGCUUAAUUAUGUGGUUUGAUUAAUUAAGAAUAAAAAUAAGCGUCAAAAUUUAAGUGUAAAAUAAACUUAAUAUAUUUGGUUAAUGUUGUAGUAGUUGAAACGAGGUUUCCGAAUAUAUAUAGAACGCCCAAAUCUGACUUCGUAUGAGGAAGUUAUGAUUUAUCGAAGUUCCGGCUUAGCGAUAUACAGCCUGUUUUACUCGAUUUGAGAUCGAGCGGUUGUUAGCCGAAGCAAUCUAAAUGAGAAUCGAAGAUCUCAUUGUUGGUAUUGAAACGAUAAAAAGUUAGGCGAGAACGGACGUCAAACGAAGAAGUUAUGAAUUUAUAACGAAAGUUUCUGUCCCGGCCUAUUAAAAAUAAUUAAUAAAAAUAAAGUCAAAAUUAGCCGACGGAGUCUAAACGAAAGUCGUAGAGCGUGGUCUCACCUUCGCGUGGAUAUAAAGAACGUCGAAAACGGAGUUCGUAUGAAGAAGUUAUGAAUUUCCGAAGUUUAUUAAUCAUUUUGUAUUUAUAUUUAAAUCAAAAUUCGGAAGCAUUAUCCGAAGGAGUCACCGAUCUGAUCCGAGGUACGCCCCGCGUACUCGAGUACGCCCCGCGUACUCCGAGGGAUGUCGACACUCGCACUCGAGCACUUCGGAUACGUAAGCAAUGACGUUUUGGGCAGUACGCCCCGCGUAACGCAGUACGCCCCGCGUACUCCGAGGCUCCAGCCUCCUAUAAAUAGGAUGCGAGGGUUCCGGGUAUUUUUGCCAAUUCCCUCUCGUUUUCGUGUCGAAGCUCUGUGCAAAAACCCCCGAAGCUACCCCGAAGUCCCGGUAUCAUACUCUAGCCCCGAGGCAAGUCCCGAGAUCCCGAAGAUCCCGAAAAGUGCGGUUCCCGAGUCGAAGCUCUGCCCGCGAGAAGUUCGAUUUUCGAGAAGAUCUUCCAGAUCUGCUGUGGAUUACUACUUCUAUAAGCCGUAGUGCUGUCCGAUCAUCUUCUGAUCAAGUGAGUGUGUAGUUAUUUCUUCUAAUACAAUAAUACGAAGUAUUUUAUAUAAAAAUACGUGCUAUGUGUAUAUAUUUGGUUGUGUUAUGUGUGAAUGAGUAUUCACUCUCUUCUAUCUUAUAGAUCUGCUUAUUUCUUUAUGAGAUAUGUGUUAUGUGUGUGUGUGCCUCAUCUGUUAUGUGAUAUAUGUGUUGAUUAAAGCAUGCUAUACAGGUUUUCUUUAAACUAUGUAUACAAAUGUAUAUUUUUAUCUACUAAUAUGUUGGGUAGAACAUGGGUAGACAGUUGGUGUGUAAUAAACAGAUGAGAGGCCUCGUUGUUGUUUGAUUGAGUCAUCUAGCGGAGUUUAGAUGACGACCACUGGCUAUUCUAGACAGUCUUGUGGAAACAUUAGCAGGUUCGCCACCUGUAGGUGUUAAUGAACUUGGGUGUUCAUUCGCUGUACUCCAUCCCCCUCAUGGUUGCCUUAUUUGACUUAUAUUGCUGAGGUACCCCCGAAGCAUGUGUUGUCGCCCCGAUGAAAUAUUCUUAGACUAGGUCCCUUAUGUUAGUUGUUUUAGGGACAUUAAAGUGAGAAUAACGGGAAUGGGUAAUUGGGUUAUUGUUGGUUGGUGAAAAUUAAAUAUGAUAUUUAUUGUGGGUUGAAAACCCUAUAUGCUCACCAGGCUCCCAAGCCUGACCCACUCAGUUUUAAAUUGUAUUACAGGUAGUGGCGGAAGGGCAUGAGAUGGAUGAACCAUCAAGUUGUUUUGUUUACAAGUCUGCAUAUGUUUAUAUUUGUUAUAUGACUUGUAAUGUAUUCGUUUAUGCUUAUUGGUCUGUAUCGGAACAUGACACCCCGAGUUUUGAUUAUAAUGAAAAUACAUUUCUUUUAUGAAAUGCUUCGGUAAACAAUGUUUUAUCAUGUUUUGUUUUUGGGAACAAAUUCCGCAACUCUUUCAAAUCAAAAGGAUUUACUCUGAAAAUAUUUAAAAGCAUAAAUGAAAAUCGGUCUUUUCUGGCCGAGAUUUUGGGGAUGUCACAGUUGGUAUCAGAGCAUUAGUUUAAGCGAACUAGGAAUUUGUAGGAUUUCUAGACUUAAACUUAGAAUGCUAAGUGAAGUUUUGAGAUGUGUGUCUGUUGUGUUUUAGACACGAGCACUAGUUUAUUUUAGGAAAGUUGCCUAAAAUGCUUUAUGUGCUAAAUGUUAUAUGUUGCCAUAUAUGAUAUUAUUUGUUCGGAUCUAUGGUCUGUUGCCGACCGGAUCUAGAAACCUUAUGUGUGUAGGAUUCUAAGCGUACGUCUACGAUAUUAGAACUAGCAUGUAAACGUUUCGGAGUGAUAAGGAUGAUUUGAAUAUCUAUCAUGAUUGAGGAUCUAAUUUCACCUUAUUCGGGGUGUAGAUCAAAAUGGUGAGAACAAGAAGUGGAGUUGGAAAUGCUGACGAAAACAGGAAUCAACCACCAGUGAUUGAGCCAAUACCUGUCGUAGCAGCAGCACCUGAGCCAAUAACCAUGGCUGGUGUGCAAUUGAUGAUUCAGACGAUGUUGGAUCGUCAGAUGGAUGAAACUAGACGGUUGCUUCAACAAAAUCGUGAAGAACUGUCGAUUCGUGUGGAAGAGCCUGAAUUAAAUGAAGGGCACUCGGAAGGUGGAAACUUCAGUGGGUCUGUUGGUCCAGCCAACCCACCGAUAGUUAGGCAAGAUAACCAUGAAGGAAGGAAUGAUGGAAUGGGAUGCAAGUACAAGGACUUUUUGACUUGCAAACCAUCGACCUUCAAUGGAAAGGAGGAUCCGAUUGGGGUUAUGGAUUGGAUCUCCGAAAUGGAGUUAGCCUUUAUGACAUGUGGCUGCAGAGGUAAGUUGCAGACUAUCUAUGCCGUGCGACAAUUCCGAGGUGGAGCCGUUCGUUGGUGGAACACUCUAGGGAAGACCUUAAGCCCUAAUGAGCCACUGCAAUUGUCAUGGGCAGAGUUCUUGGUGCAGUUCAAGCGCAAGUUCUGCUCGGCUCAAAAUCUGUUGGAGUUGGAGAAUAAGUUUUUGACAUUGACGAAGGGUAGCAUGUCAGUUGAUGAAUACACCAAUAACUUCACCGAUAAGAUGGAGUUUGCCUUGCGUAUCGUUCCAGACGAGCUGACAAAGGUGGAUCGGUAUGCGAAGGGACUUCCAUGGGAGUACGAGGUGCCGGUACGUCAGGCACUUACUCUAGAGGCAGCUAUCUGGGCUGCCAAGUCUGUGGAGAACAUGAUCAAGGGGAGAACCACCGUCAAGGUUGAGGUUGGUGAGAAAAGGAAGUUUGAAGGAACAUCUGGUUCCAGUAAGAAGAGCAAAUUUUCGAAAUCUGAUUCGAAAAAGUUUGGAGGAAAAGGAGGCGAAGCAAAGUGGUGUGAUAAGUGUAAGAAAAAGCACUUUGGGAAAUGUAGCGAGGAUGUGACCUGCUACAAGUGUGGAAAGGUUGGACAUUUUGCCAAUGAAUGUCCGAACAACAAAAGGAUGUGUUUUGGUUGUAAUGAAGAGGGGCAUAUUUUGAAAGACUGUCCGAAGAAGAAGGAGGCAGCUAGGCCCAACAUUCCACCAAAGCCGAAGGCGAGAGCCUUCCAGAUGACACUUGAGGCUGCGAAAGAUGAAGCUGAUGUCGCUUCAGGUACCUUUCUCGUAAACGAAUUACCUGCUCAUAUAUUGUUUGAUUCUGGAGCCAACUACUCCUUUAUUUCGCAUGAGUUUGGUAGAAAGCUAGCUUUGCCUGUUGAUAGACUAAAUAAUGCUUUAUUAGUCGAAGUAGCUAGUGGCAAGUUUGUACCUGUUAGCCAUCGUAUGAAAAACGUCUUGAUCGACCUUAAUGGGAAUAAGUUUCUCGAGGAAUUAUUGCCUAUCGAACUAAAUGGUUUCGACAUCGUCUUGGGAAUGGAUUGGCUUAGCGCCAAUGAUGCCGAAAUUUUGUGCAAGAAGAAGAUAGUUAAAGUAAACCCGCCUGGAAAAGAUUCGUUUAUGGUGUAUGGGGACAAACGCAGAGUGAAUUCUGGAAUCAUUUCUCUAAUGAAAGCCAGAAAGUGUUUGACCAAGGGAUGUACAUCAUAUUUAGCAUUCGUGAUUGAUGCUAAGAAAGAAAAGAAGGUGAUGCAGAGCAUUCCAGUGGUGUGUGAUUAUCCGGAAGUAUUUCCCGAGGAUCUUCCUGGAUUACCACCUGAUAGACAAGUGGAGUUCAGAAUAGACUUGUUACCAGGAACCACGCCAAUAGCAAAAGCACCUUAUCGAUUAGCACCGACGGAGAUGAAGGAGCUAAUGAUGCAACUUCAGGAGUUAUUGGACAAAGGUUUCAUUAGACCUAGUUCAUCGCCCUGGGGAGCUCCGGUGUUAUUUGUAAAGAAGAAAGAUGGAAGUAUGAGAAUGUGCAUCGAUUACAGAGAGCUGAACAAGGCAACAAUAAAGAAUAGAUAUCCGUUGCCGAGGAUUGAUGACCUGUUUGAUCAAUUGCAAGGUUCGAGCUAUUUCUCGAAGAUCGAUCUUAGGUCAGGAUAUCAUCAGCUGAAAGUAAGAGAGCAAGAUAUCGAGAAGACUGCAUUCAGAACUAGAUAUGGACACUACGAGUUCUUGGUUAUGUCGUUUGGACUAACCAAUGCUCCAGCAGCGUUCAUGGAUUUGAUGAAUAGGGUUUGUAAUCCUUUCCUUGAUAAAUCCGUGAUAGUGUUCAUAGACGACAUUCUGAUCUACUCGAAAAGCCAGGAGGAGCAUGGCAGACACUUGCGAGAAGUGUUAGAAGUUUUGAAGAAGGAGAAGCUUUAUGCGAAGUUCUCCAAAUGUGAUUUUUGGAUUCGUGAAGUCCAAUUCUUGGGUCACGUGGUCAACCAAGAAGGGAUAAUGGUUGAUCCAGCGAAGAUCGAAGCUGUGACGAAGUGGGAACAACCGAAAAGUCCCACGGAGAUUCGAAGCUUUUUAGGAUUAGCCGGAUAUUACCGAAGGUUUAUCCAAGGCUUUUCUUCGAUUGCUACUCCAUUAACAGCUUUGACCCACAAAGGAGCUACUUAUGCUUGGAGUGAGAAGCAUAAAGAAGCAUUCGAGAAGUUAAAGAAGAAGCUAUGCGAGGCACCGAUACUUUCUCUACCCGAUGGAGUUGAAGACUUCGCUGUUUAUAGCGAUGCGUCUGGUGUUGGAUUGGGUUGUGUUUUGACCCAAAGAGAAAAGGUGAUAGCAUAUGCGUCUCGACAGCUGAAAGAGCAUGAAAAGAAUUACCCGACUCAUGAUUUGGAGUUGGCAGCGGUAGUUUUCGCUCUGAAAAUAUGGAGGCAUUACCUCUAUGGCACGAAGUGCAAACUUUUCACUGAUCAUAAGAGUCUCCAAUACCUCUUUAAUCAGAAAGAAUUGAAUAUGAGGCAACGACGCUGGCUAGAAUUACUUAAAGACUACGACUGCGAGAUACUUUACCACCCCGGUAAAGCUAAUGUUGUUGCUGAUGCUCUCAGUCGGAAGGUCAAUCUUGAAAGGAAGAGGCCAAGAGCGUUGAGAAUUGAAGUUGUCUCGACCAUUGUGGAAAGUAUAAAGAAAGCUCAAGAGGAAGCUUCUGAGAAAAAUGACCGAAAGGAGGAACGUUUGGGUAAAACGUUGGUGUUUGGUACUAACGGUCAUGGACUGAAGGUAUUCCAAGAUCGUAUUUGGGUACCUAAGUCAGGAGGAAUUAGGGAUCUUCUGAUGGAAGAAGCUCACAAGACCAUGUACUCGAUUCAUCCGGGUAGCACUAAAAUGUAUAGGGACCUGAAACCCUACUACUGGUGGCCGACGAUGAAGCUUGAUGUUGCAAAGUAUGUGGCCGAGUGUGUGACUUGUGCGAGAGUCAAGACACAACAUCAGAAACCGUACGGGAGUUUAGAACCUUUGCCUGUGCCUAUGGGUAAGUGGGAAGACAUUGCUAUGGAUUUUGUCACUAAACUGCCCAGAACAAAGAAUGGUCACGACAUGAUUUGGGUGGUCGUUGAUCGAUUCACUAAGAGUGCGCAUUUCAUAGCGGCCAGGGAGAAAUGGUCUAUGGAAAAGCUUGCGAAUUCUUACGUGAAGGAAAUUGUGAGGCUUCACGGUGUUCCGUUAACGAUUGUAUCGGAUCGUGAUAGCCGUUUCACCUCAAGGUUUUGGAAAAGUCUACAAGAGGAAAUGGGUACCAAGUUAUGUUUAAGCACAGCUUACCAUCCGCAGACUGAUGGUCAGAGUGAAAGAACAAUACAAACACUUGAAGAUAUGCUGAGAGCAUGUACCUUGGAAUUCCUAGGUAAUUGGGAUGAACAUUUACCGUUGGUAGAAUUUUCCUAUAAUAAUAGUUUUCACUCGAGCAUUAAGAUGGCACCUUAUCAAGCUUUGUAUGGACAGAAGUGUCGUACGCCGUCUUGUUGGCUUGAGGCUGGGGAAAAGCAGUUUAUGGGACCGGAGAUGGUUCAUCAAACUGCUGAAAAGUUGAAAAUAAUUAGGGAAAGAAUGUUAGCAGCUCAAGAUCGUCAAAAGAGCUAUGCUGACAAGAAGCGAAGACCGAUGACUUUUGAGGUUGGAGAUUCGGUUUUGCUUAAAGUCUCGCCGUGGAAGGGACUUAUAAGAUUUGGUAAAAGGGGAAAGUUGAGUCCAAGGUUUAUUGGACCGUUUAGAGUCCUUCAGAGGAUUGGGAAUCAAGCUUACAAGCUCGAAUUACCCGAAGAACUGAAUGGAAUUCACAACACCUUUCAUGUGUGUUAUUUGAGGAAGUUCACGGGAGAAGUUCCCGAUAUAAUUCCAAUUUCUGAAUUGAGAAUUGAUGAGAACAAAAGGUUGAUUGAAGAACCAGAGGCAAUUGUUGACCGAAAGACUAAGAAGUUGCGACGCAAAAUGGUUGGGUUAGUGCUUGUCCGAUGGAAACACACGAAUGGGCCGAAUCUCACCUGGGAGACGGAGAGUGACAUGUUGAGUCGCUAUCCGCAUUUGUUUGUUGAUGUGUGAUUCCGGGGACGGAAUCAUUCUAAGGUGGAGAGAAUUGUAACGCCUGUGUUUCGGGCUUGCCAUUUGUAGCAAUGUAAUAGUCUAGGUUAACCUCUGUAACCCGUUUUGAAAUAAUAAGAUUGUAUUAUUUGAGUAUUAUGUGUUUUGUGCUUAAUUGCUUAAUUAUGUGGUUUGAUUAAUUAAGAAUAAAAAUAAGCGUCAAAAUUUAAGUGUAAAAUAAACUUAAUAUAUUUGGUUAAUGUUGUAGUAGUUGAAACGAGGUUUCCGAAUAUAUAUAGAACGCCCAAAUCUGACUUCGUAUGAGGAAGUUAUGAUUUAUCGAAGUUCCGGCUUAGCGAUAUACAGCCUGUUUUACUCGAUUUGAGAUCGAGCGGUUGUUAGCCGAAGCAAUCUAAAUGAGAAUCGAAGAUCUCAUUGUUGGUAUCGAAACGAUAAAAAGUUAGGCGAGAACGGACGUCAAACGAAGAAGUUAUGAAUUUAUAACGAAAGUUUCUGUCGCGGCCUAUUAAAAAUAAUUAAUAAAAAUAAAGUCAAAAUUAGCCGACGGAGUCUAAACGAAAGUCGUAGAGCGUGGUCUCACCUUCGCGUGGAUAUAAAGAACGUCGAAAACGGAGUUCGUAUGAAGAAGUUAUGAAUUUCCGAAGUUU